Molecule: long non-coding RNA, 843 nt
Organism: Felis catus (domestic cat)
Lineage: Eukaryota; Metazoa; Chordata; Mammalia; Carnivora; Felidae
Exons: 2
Source: RefSeq, a predicted model, not a curated record
CAUCGAGGGAGCAGGUGCACUGCAUCACACAGGGCCGGUCCUCACGGCAGCAGCCUGGUCCUCGGUCAGACAGGUUGCCUCCCCUCUCAGAGCCCUGGGAGCACUGAUGCCUGCCUCUACGUCACAUGUGAGAAACGUAACAGAGGAUUAUAGAGAAGGUGGGCACGUAGCCAUUGAGGGCCUUCCCGAGAGCCACGCUCCGGGAUGAGGACACCAGUGGUCAAACCCAGAUCCUGUCCCUUUGGGCUCAAGAAGCUCACAGGUGAGCAGAGCAGAGGAUGACGAUGGCGACGAUGAUGAUGAGAACUAUUAUUACCAAGUGGUGGACAUUGUGAGCACCACCCGGCCCCGCCCUCUGUGAAGGACUUGUCAUCCCCGCAGCCAUCAGUCCCUUUCUUUGAUCUGCAAUGACUGCCCCAGCUGGGAACCGCUCCCCCAGGCCAGCUCAGCUGCUCUGUGUGCAGCGCCCCCUCGGGGUCGAGGCUGGGCUGCUCCUCUGCCCGAUACCGCGCCAGGUGGACAAUUGCCAUCGCACCAGCUCUUUCUCUCGGUCGGCUUCCAGAGGAACGCGCAACAGGAUGUCACUGUAAUUAUAUAAGCGCUGAGCAAAUCAGGAUCCUGGGGCUGCCUGCAGGCAGGUGCCUCCCUGUCCAGGCAUCUCAGGCAGCCUGCUCGUGAUGUCCCCGGUGUCACUUGACUUUCCCCCUCAGAGCUGGCCGUGGAGCUGGACAACUCAGGUAGCCUAUGCUCUUUCCUGCCCCAAGCCACUGUGAUCUCCGGGUUUCUCGCUGACCUAAGUAGCCACACCAAAUAAACUGUGCUUUGCAGCUUCACAGCUGGGAA